GAGCGAACGCUGGCGGCAGGCCUAACCCAUGCAAGUCGAACGAACUCUUCGGAGUUAGUGGCGGACGGGUGAGUAACACGUGGGAACGUGCCUUUUGGUUCGGAAUAACUCAGGGAAACUUGUGCUAAUACCGAAUGUGCCCUUCGGGGGAAAGAUUUAUCGCCAUUAGAGCGGCCCGCGUCUGAUUAGCUAGUUGGUGAGGUAACGGCUCACCAAGGCGACGAUCAGUAGCUGGUCUGAGAGGAUGACCAGCCACACUGGGACUGAGACACGGCCCAGACUCCUACGGGAGGCAGCAGUGGGGAAUCUUGCGCAAUGGGCGAAAGCCUGACGCAGCCAUGCCGCGUGAAUGAUGAAGGUCUUAGGAUUGUAAAAUUCUUUCACCGGGGACGAUAAUGACGGUACCCGGAGAAGAAGCCCCGGCUAACUUCGUG
Molecule: ribosomal RNA, 434 nt
Filed under: uncultured bacterium
Lineage: Bacteria
Description: partial 16S ribosomal RNA
Rfam family: Bacterial small subunit ribosomal RNA
Source: RNAcentral